This is a small nucleolar RNA of Equus asinus (donkey), 74 nucleotides long. Lineage: Eukaryota; Metazoa; Chordata; Mammalia; Perissodactyla; Equidae. The record is from Ensembl.
UAGACCAGUGGUGACUACUGGUGGCAUAUAAGUCAUAGACAUGAAUAAUAUGUGUCUGGAAGUCUGAGGUCCAA